GACGAACGCUGGCGGCGUGCUUAACACAUGCAAGUCGAGCGGUAAGGCCCUUUCGGGGGUACACGAGCGGCGAACGGGUGAGUAACACGUGGGUGACCUGCCCUCAGCUCCGGGAUAAGCCUGGGAAACCGGGUCUAAUACUGGAUAUGACCCCAUGACGCAUGUUGUGGGGUGGAAAGCCCUGUGCGGCUGAGGAUGGGCCCGCGGCCUAUCAGCUUGUUGGUGGGGUGAUGGCCUACCAAGGCGACGACGGGUAGCCGGCCUGAGAGGGCGACCGGCCACACUGGGACUGAGACACGGCCCAGACUCCUACGGGAGGCAGCAGUGGGGAAUCUUGCGCAAUGGGCGAAAGCCUGACGCAGCGACGCCGCGUGAGGGAUGACGGCCUGG
RNAcentral lists this ribosomal RNA (390 nucleotides) under uncultured bacterium. Its description in RNAcentral is "bacterial SSU rRNA". It matches the Rfam family "Bacterial small subunit ribosomal RNA", at positions 28 to 419 of the family's 1533-position model. The record is from RNAcentral.